UAACGUCCGCUUCCACGCCACCGUCGCUUUCCACCCACCCUACACGCCCAACACAACCGAAGAAGGAUAUCCUCCCCCUUCCUCUCUCUCUCUCUCUCUCUCUCUCUGGGGAUCCAAUGGAACCCCCACUCGGUGAAUCUUUCGGAAGGGGUUUGUUGUUGCUCAAUCGAAUCGGAGAACCCAAUCGAGAAUGAACUCAUCAGGUUUCCACAGUAGAGUGUUGCAUCAGAUGAUCUGAUCCUCCUGAAUAGCUGAAGGUUCUAAUGCUACUUAAGAUUCUUCUGACGGCCACAGCAACUACUGCAGGAAACAAAGUUUGUUUUGUGAGUGACGAAGAAGAUUUACGGAGAGCUUCACUACUGCUGCUAAAAGGGAGUUUGUUAUAUAAUCUGAUAAGAGUUACACUUAGAAAGAACACACACAUUCAUUCGACCCUUACGAGGAUGUUAAUAAUCGGCAACCGUUCUAAAAGCAUUUACAAGGAGAGGCACGUUCCUACAUUCCUC
Musa acuminata subsp. malaccensis (wild Malaysian banana) is the source of this 506-nucleotide long non-coding RNA. RefSeq lists it as uncharacterized. The record is from RefSeq and is a predicted model, not a curated record. Lineage: Eukaryota; Viridiplantae; Streptophyta; Magnoliopsida; Zingiberales; Musaceae.